This is a long non-coding RNA of Oxyura jamaicensis (ruddy duck), 1535 nucleotides long. RefSeq lists it as uncharacterized. Lineage: Eukaryota; Metazoa; Chordata; Aves; Anseriformes; Anatidae. The record is from RefSeq and is a predicted model, not a curated record. The transcript is spliced from 2 exons.
UCUCUAGCAGUCAUUAGGCAGUUGGCUUCCUUUACUAUUUUGCAACAGAUCUGCAAACUGAGCAGAUCUGAACUGAAUUAGUGUCUUCAGUUGAAACUGGGAUAUUUUCCUUAUUAUUAUGUUCAUAAUUUGACUUCUGCUUUGUGAAGGUAUUUCUUUUUUCGGUAUUCUGGAGAUGUUGAUAUUUAGUUAAAGAAAGUAGGUAUUAGUACAGUAAAGUGCAGACAGGGCUGCUUCUGCAUUGCUUGUGCUGUACUAAUAGCUGUAAUGCCAGAGAAUGUCUGGAAAAACUAACUCAAGCAAUCUCAGUUGAACUAGCCAAGACAGGUUACCAUUGCUGAAAACACUAGCGACUUAUGCCCUCAUACAGACAGACACUAGGAUUGGUGAAUUUCAAUCCUGUCUCUAUUUCAGAGUGUAAACUAAGCCACAGGGACUACUAAACACUUGCACCUCAAACACUACUGAAGAAGUGGAGCUGCAUGUGUAGACAAAGGUGUGUGAGGGGGAGGUUGCCACCCCACUUGCGUGCUGAGAGAAGUUCUCCUUUAACAAGAGAAGAUGAAUGCCUUGUCUAAAGCAAAGCUGUGCUUCUUCCUCUGUGCUGCUUAAGUAAAGCAGCAAUGUUAAAAUUGAAAGAGGAGCCUGACCAGCAAAAAUACCGGUGAUACUCAGCACAUACAAGCAGUUGGCAAGGUGUAUGAAAUGACCAUCUGUUUCAGUGCUGAGCAUCAGUCUCUGUUGCUUGCCAUGUCAAAACAACAAUAGGAUUCAACACUGGAGUUACUUUGUGCUUAUAUCCAUGUGUCCAUUUGUGGUAAGACCAAUUCUCAGAGAGGCACAAGAUUGCAAUUUAAUGUAUAGUAUAGAUAUGGUUUGGUUUACUGAAAACCACCCACUCAUUCGCAGCAAGAAGCCCCUCAUAAAAUUUUCUCUUAACUGAUUAUCUCCUGUUUGCGAUAAUAUUGCUGUUCAAUUGCAUGCAUCUCUCUGCCCUUGUAAGGUAGCACUUCAGUGAGCAAGCUAAACUACAUAUUACUCCUGUGAGCAGACCACAGCUGGGAGCUCCAAUUCUUCUAAAGCAGCUCAGCUUGUAGCACUUCUGUAAAAUGCAGACUUUGUUAUGGUUACAGUAAAAUAUUAAUAAUCUUAAAAUCCCUGGAUACGGGUACAGACCUAAUAAACCUGCUAUUGACAACGUAUGGCAGACUACUGUGUGAUGGAGCUGUAAUAAAAUGACUUGUAGUCUGGCCAUUCCUGUGCUGUAGAUUUUAGUUAGAUCUGCAAGUGCAUGCAAACAGUUAAAAUGCAUUUCUGAUUGGAAUCAGAAUCAGGUAUUUGGCAAGGUUUAUGCUUCCUGAUCUAACAUUUUCAGUGGGUGGAGAAAAUUAUCUCCCUAUUGCUUUGUCAUUAUUCCUUAAAUGAACAAUGUAUUCUAUUUUUUUUUCAUUUAAGUGGGAUGAAUUGUGGCUUUUUAUUGUUCCCUAUUUUUCUGAAUAAAUAGUUCAGUAAAACUGCUAAUGUCGAUGAUAGAA